Molecule: long non-coding RNA, 5654 nt
Filed under: Brassica napus (rape)
Lineage: Eukaryota; Viridiplantae; Streptophyta; Magnoliopsida; Brassicales; Brassicaceae
Description: long non-coding RNA (BNAP_LNC001430)
Source: RNAcentral
CUCCCAAACACUCCCUCUUCUUCUACCAGUUACACUCCAGGUAAGGAGAUCUAAAUCGUGAAUACGAAUCAUUCAAACUUUCUAAAACGUUAUUUACAACUACAACCAACAGGAGGCUUGAUGUACAACUACAAGUUACCUCAGAGCAACCUACAACACGUAACGGCCAUAACAUUCUUGCUCACAACCUACGCCAAGUACAUGAAAGCCACACAACACACGUUCAACUGCGGAAACUCUGUUAACAUUGUCCCCGAUACCUUGAUAAGCUUAUCGAAGCAACAAGUGGAUUAUAUACUCGGCGAGAAUCCGGCCAAGAUGUCGUAUAUGGUUGGAUACGGAACUAGUUUCCCCAUGAGAAUCCACCACAGAGGAUCAUCUAUUCCUUCACAACCACACUUCAGCUGCGCAGAUGGACUCCAAUUUUUAAAUACUUCAAACCCUAACCCUAACAUUCUCACGGGUGCAAUCGUAGGAGGUCCAAAUGAGAAGGAUGCGUAUGCAGAUAACAGAGAAGAUUUCAUUCAAUCGGAGCCUACUACUUACAUCAACGCCCCCUUCGUCGGACCUUUGGCGUACUUCGCCUCCGGUGGAUCGGCUUGAAACCGUCGGUCGAAGCCGAACGUGACAAUAUCCAAUUGAACAAGUAAUUUAAAUGUGUAACUUUUUAAUAGGCUAAGGUCCAAUAUUAUUGGACCUGGUAUAAUUAUGUUAAUCGUGUUUGUAAGAGACUUCAUUUUAAUAAACCAAUCUUCCGGUUGAGACUAGAAACCAUUUAUUUUUUUGAAUGUCGGUAUUCAGAGGAAAUCUCGAGUCCAAACGCAACCCCCAUGCUUCCAUUCCAUUCCCCAUGGUUCCCGCAGCUCCUAUGCAUCUCAUUCCCUAGCUUGCAGUUUGCUGAAUGAACUGCCGCCAGUUCAAAAUAACAAGUUUCCAACCAAGUUGAAGAUAACAAACUGGCUAAUAGCCAUUGAUCUGAUCAGGGUAAACAUUACAUACAUGUUGUAGCAGAAAGUGCUGCUGCAUGUUAGUAGUACCACGCAAGAACCCAACCAAAAGCUCUACUCAAACUUUCUGAAUUCAUGUUCCCAAACAAAAACACUUUAGCUUUAAACUAAAAAAUCGUUUGAACAUGUAUUACAAGGACCAAGGACAAAACCUUGUUCGAGAUCACGUUACGAUACUCAGAGAGCAUCCAUCAUUCAUCGUAUCUUAUCAAUAUUCAGCAAGUUUUCAAGUUUGAUAUUGUUUUUCAAUUAGAGUAAUGAUCCUUGCAAUUUCUCAAACCGGCUUAACCUCGCAGGGGAUAAGAUCAACCCAGAUUUCAGUCUCAUCAAACCUCUUUGGAUCCAAAUAUUUAGAGUAGUCAUAUACAAAGAAGGUUAAAAAUUGCGAACUUUUGGUGAACAGAGAGAUCAGUCAAGUGAGAAGAGGAAAACAAUGUGUGGGCCCUCUAUUUCACACACUAUUUUCCUCUAUCACUUUUGAGUUUUGACUGAAAGGUAAAAAUAAUGUAUAUAUAUAUAUAUAUAUAUAUUAUUCUCAUACUUAUAUUUCUUAUAAAAAAGUAUAUAUCCGUAUAUACCCCGUUUAGGCGUCCGUCUACACGGCUAGACGGGUAAUGAAUGCGCGUUUUAGAACACUACGUGUGGGAGAAGGAAGACUCUGAAUAGGUUGUAGUACAAGUGAAACACAUCUAGUAAGUUAUGAUAUAAGAUAAGCAAGACUUUCCACAAGGCUACCGCAAGUUAAGAUCACACCUAUAUUUUAUAGUUAUUCAACAUACAUCGUAACCUUACGGGCAGGGAUAGAUAGUAUCAUUGACGUGUGGGAGAAGGAAGACUCUAAAUAGGUUAUAGUACAAGUGAAACACAUCUAGUAAGUUAUGAUAUAAGAUAAGAAAGACAUUCCACAAGGCUACCGCAAGUUAAGAUAUGCGGAGAAAGUUCCUUUUUCAAACUAAGAUAUGCAAAAACAUUAAAUAGGCAAGUUUGGGAAAUUCAGUACAAAAACGAACAAGACUUUGGAAAACAUAUUCCUCACAAAUGCUUCUUAGAGAGAUUGCAAGAGAUGCGCUUAACGAGCACUUGUAGCGACUCUGAGUUUUCUUUGACCAAACUUCAAUUCCCACGGACUAGAUCUUGAUUGUGCGAAGCGGAGAUAUCUCUGAUCAUAAGUCCUCAUAACACGCCAGGUCCAUAGGCUAUUCCAGAUGCUAUCUAGUUAAACAUUUGUUAUCUACCUCGGACAAUUCCUCGCGUUGUUGUGAUGUAGGAUUCGGGACAUGACUUACUCCACAUAUAUUUUCAAGUCCGUAGAGUGUAGUGUCGUCCAAGAAUGAUGAAAAUUUCUACCUUUUAAACUAUGUGCCUCAUGGGUCAAGUGAGGAUUAGCUAAGUUACUUAUGUUUUGGAACAUUGCUGAUGAACACUAUUUAUCAAGUGAGGAUUAGCUAACUUGCUUGGGAUCAUGGUUUCAUGUUUUCAUAUCAUUGUAGUUUAUGUUUAUAUGUAAUUUAUGUUUAACUGAGAAAAAAGGUUUUACUGUGUUAUUUAAGAUAAUAUAACUCCUUGAUUAUGUUAUACAUAAUUAUUGCAUUCUAAUAAAGUUAUUAAGAUUUUAUUUAUAAUCAUUAGUAUUAUUGUUAUUAUGAAUAUACAAGAUGAUAUCAACUACAUAUAAUUAAUUAAUACAAUUAAAUAUAUUUGAAAUGUAAUUUAACAUAUUUAAAAUAUUACUGAGAUAUUCUUUGAUAAAGACAAAUAUAUAGAAAUUGUUUUUUUCCUUAAUUAACUGACAUUAAAAAUGUAAGUUACAAAAGUUGAUAUUAUAAUGUGUGAUAAUUUAAUAGAUAUCUCACCGAUAAAGUUAACAAAUCUGAACUAGUUGUUAAAUUUAACUUUUACUAAACUACUAUUAUUUUAUCAGUUCCCCAUUAGAGUACUAUCAUAAUACCAAAAUCAAUAACAAUAUAUAGCUUUAUAUGAUCAUAUGUUUAUAUGAUUCACUCUCCAAGAAGAGUUCGUAGGAACUCAAGUCGGGAUGUGACUUAGCAAGUAUUUGCGUCAACUUGUCGGUUAGCUUCUCCAAGUCUUCGUCAACUAAUUGGACCACAUAAACCCUAAACUCAAUUCAAUAUUCACGCUUCCUUCUUCCCUUAGUCUCAUGCAAACCUUUUAUCUUUACUGGAGAAUGUAAAUUUCAUAUUAUUGACAUGACAUUUAAUGAUGCGUCUGCCAGCUUAAAUCAUGGUAAAUAAUUAUAUAUUAUACACAUAACGGCAAUAACCAUUGCAUUAAUUCACGUAAUCUCAUAAGGGCAAUGACAUCGAUCGGGCAGAUUAAGGAUGGACAUACCCAUCCAGAACUGAUCUUCGGAUCAGGGUCCCAGACCCAAUUGGACCCGGUUUAAAUAUUCAAAGGGUUCUAAAUUGUUAUAUCCAAAAAUUGAUACCGUAUUCAACCCACACCAAAAACCGAAUGAACUGCAAACAUAUAAAUUAGUACAUAAAAAUAUUAGUUAUAAUCAUACGUAUAAUGAUACUACCUGAAAUCAUAAAUAUAUUAGUUAUUUAAAAUAUUUAUAGAUAAAAUUGGAUAGUUUAGAAACAAAUACCGAUAAUCAAAUUGUAUUCAUGGUAACUAAACAUCAAACUAAAUACAAAUUAAAGAUGUGAUGAUAAAUUUCUCAAGAAGUAAUGUUUUACAACAUAUUUUUUUAUUUCAUAGAUGAAGUAAAAUUCAGUCGUUUUCUUGAUUUUUGAACUUCAUGAAAAUGUGUUAAGGUAAAAAGAGAAUUAAACAGGAGAAGUCAUUUUUUCUCCAAAAUGCCGUAUGUACUGGCUCCAUCAGCGCCGUAUCAAAUCCCUCUCCUAUCUCUGCAUCUCUCUCUCCAUUGUUGUGUAUAUAUAUGUGAACGUUCAUAUCAUGGAUUGGCACCUCAAAACUCAAAGUAAUCAACUUCAAAAUGACUUCUCUUUUCUUCUUAGUUUUCCUUUUCUCAUCUCUUCUCACUCCAAAUGUUGAUGCCAGUCCAAUUUACAUAGAAGCUCUCUCCAAGUCAUUGCUCUUCUUCCACGGUCAGCGGUCCGGUCCCCUCCCAACAGACCAACAAUUCUCGUGGAGGGCUAGCUCCGGCCUUUCAGAUGGCUCCUCCGCCAAUGUACAUCCCAAAAAACACUAAACCUCUUAUAUAGCUUUGUUAUUAUAUAAGAAUGAAUAAACUUUUAUAUGAUCUGCAGGUGGACUUAGUUGGUGGGUACUACACCGAAGGAGACAACGUCAAACACAAUUUCCCAAUGGCGUUUACCACCACAAUGCUUUCAUGGAGCACGCUUGAGUACGGUGAGCAGAUGGGUACUGAGCUCCAAAAUGCUCUUGUUAACAUCCGUUGGGCCACGGAUUAUCUGCUGAAAUGUGCUACAGCCACUCCCGGGAAGCUUUACGUCGGGGUAGGAGAUCCUAAUGCUGAUCACAAAUGCUGGGAACGGCCUGAAGAUAUGGACACACCUCAUACAGUCUAUUCUGUAUCCCCUUCUAACCCCGGUUCUGACGUAGCAGCUGAAACUGCAGCAGCUCUGGCCGCAGCUUCUAUGGUUUUCAAGGAAGUUGAUUCUGCUUACUCGCUUUUGCUGCUGGCAACAGCUAAGAAUGUGAUGCAGUUUGCCAUUAAGUACAGAGGAAGUUAUAGUGAUUCCCUUUCUUCAUCUGUCUGUCCUUUCUACUGCUCCUACUCUGGUUACAAGGGCGGCUUUUCAUAUGUCCCAUCUCUUUAUUAUUGCAACUAAAAAAACUUUUACUGCUACAUAUAUAUAUAUCAAAAUGUAAAAAUUAUGAUGACACAGGACGAGCUAAUGUGGGGUGCGGCCUGGCUGCUGAAAGCAACCGAUGACUCGUAUUACAAAAACUUCAUACAAUCUUUAGGAGGUGGAGAUCAGCCUGACAUCUUCAACUGGGACAACAAAUAUGCUGGCGCUUAUGUUCUUCUUUCACAGGUAUGUCUCUCUGCUAAAAAGAAAGUUUUUUUUAAUUGAAGUUCCAAUCUCUCAUAAGUCCGAACUAAUCUUUUGUUAAUUCCUAAUAAUAUUCCGUACCAAAGGUGGUUUGAACCCGAUACACUUUUGUUGCUUAGCAUGUCACCAAUUCACAACAAUAAUAUUUCACUUUUUGGCAGCAAGCAUUAGUUAACAACGACAACACCUUUGAACAAUACAAGCUAGAAGCUGAGAGUUUCAUAUGCAAGAUCCUCCCAAACACUCCCUCUUCUUCUACCAGUUACACUCCAGGUAAGGAGAUCUAAAUCGUGAAUACGAAUCAUUCAAACUUUCUAAAACGUUAUUUACAACUACAACCAACAGGAGGCUUGAUGUACAACUACAAGUUACCUCAGAGCAACCUACAACACGUAACGGCCAUAACAUUCUUGCUCACAACCUACGCCAAGUACAUGAAAGCCACACAACACACGUUCAACUGCGGAAACUCUGUUAACAUUGUCCCCGAUACCUUGAUAAGCUUAUCGAAGCAACAAGUGGAUUAUAUACUCGGCGAGAAUCCGGCCAAGAUGUCGUAUAUGGUUGGAUACGGAACUAGUUUCCCCAUGAGAAUCCACCACAGAGGAUCAUCUAUUCCUUCACAACCACACUUCAGCUGCGC